This 23-nucleotide non-coding RNA is filed under the name Cricetulus griseus (Chinese hamster). The record is from RNAcentral. Lineage: Eukaryota; Metazoa; Chordata; Mammalia; Rodentia; Cricetidae.
ACGAUGAUGAGUGGGAAGACUGA